UCCGGGUUGGACCCGGCGGUCCCGCCAGACAUGGUAACUGGCAGCGAGGGUUGCGCUCGUUGCGGGACUUAACCCAACACCUCACGGCACGAGCUGACGACAGCCGUGCAGCACCUGCGCACGCUCCCUUGCGGGUCCCCUCGGUUUCCCUCGGGUACCACGUGCAUGUCAAGCCCGGGUAAGGUUCUUCGCGUUGCAUCGAAUUAAACCACACGCUCCGCUGCUUGUGCGGGCCCCCGUCAAUUCCUUUGAGUUUUAACCUUGCGGUCGUAAUCCCCAGGCGGGGUGCUUAAUGCGUUAGCUGCGGCGCGGAGGGAGUGGAUAACCCCCCACACCUAGCACCCAUCGUUUACGGCGUGGACUAC
This 365-nucleotide unclassified non-coding RNA is filed under the name uncultured Chloroflexota bacterium. Its description in RNAcentral is "uncultured Chloroflexi bacterium contains 16S-23S intergenic spacer region". The record is from RNAcentral. Lineage: Bacteria; Bacillati; Chloroflexota.